CCCAUCGCAGCCAUAGUGGACGAAAAGAUCUUCUGCUGCCACGGAGGCCUGUCCCCGGACCUGCAGUCUAUGGAGCAGAUUCGGCGGAUCAUGCGGCCCACAGAUGUGCCUGACCAGGGCCUGCUGUGUGACCUGCUGUGGUCUGACCCUGACAAGGACGUGCAGGGCUGGGGCGAGAACGACCGUGGCGUCUCUUUUACCUUUGGAGCCGAGGUGGUGGCCAAGUUCCUCCACAAGCACGACUUGGACCUCAUCUGCCGAGCACACCAGGUGGGCUGGUGGCCCUGGCCUGCGGCGGGGGAAGGGAGGGCAGUGCCUGCGCUCAGGACUGACUGCUCCCAUCCUCGCCCAGGUGGUAGAAGAUGGCUAUGAGUUCUUUGCCAAGCGGCAGCUGGUGACACUUUUCUCAGCUCCCAACUACUGUGGCGAGUUUGACAAUGCUGGCGCCAUGAUGAGCGUGGACGAGACCCUCAUGUGCUCCUUCCAGGUGAGUGUGGGGAAGAAAGGGGCCGCUAGGUCCUGUGGCUCAGCCCCAUGAGCCUGACCAACGCUGUCUCUUUUAGAUCCUCAAGCCCGCCGACAAGAACAAGGGGAAGUACGGGCAGUUCAGUGGCCUGAACCCUGGAG
RNAcentral lists this small RNA (627 nucleotides) under Pongo abelii (Sumatran orangutan). RNAcentral's name for it is "processed transcript". The record is from RNAcentral. Lineage: Eukaryota; Metazoa; Chordata; Mammalia; Primates; Hominidae.